GGAGAGGUGUCCGAGUGGCUGAAGGAGCACGCCUGGAAAGUGUGUAUACGCCAAAAGUGUAUCGCGGGUUCGAAUCCCGCCCUCUCCGCCA
This 91-nucleotide transfer RNA is filed under the name Crocinitomicaceae bacterium. Its description in RNAcentral is "tRNA-Ser". It matches the Rfam family "tRNA". From Rfam's summary of the family: Transfer RNA (tRNA) molecules are approximately 80 nucleotides in length. Their secondary structure includes four short double-helical elements and three loops (D, anti-codon, and T loops). The record is from RNAcentral. Lineage: Bacteria; Pseudomonadati; Bacteroidota; Flavobacteriia; Flavobacteriales; Crocinitomicaceae.